UAAUAGCCCUGAUGGAAGCGGCAUCCUUUUGUGGCGGGGUUCGACACAAAAGAUAUAGCGGACAGCAGGUUUUAGC
Molecule: non-coding RNA, 76 nt
Organism: Flavobacterium hercynium
Lineage: Bacteria; Pseudomonadati; Bacteroidota; Flavobacteriia; Flavobacteriales; Flavobacteriaceae
Source: Rfam